AGAGUUUGAUCAUGGCUCAGAGCGAACGUUAGCGGCAGGCCUAACACAUGCAAGUCGCACGAGAAUCUGGCUUCGGCCAGUAGUAAAGUGGCGGACGGGUGCGUAACACGUGGAUAAUCUGCCCUUCGGCGGGGGACAACAGUCCGAAAGGAUUGCUAAUACCGCAUAAGUCGGCGAGGUCUUCGGAUCUUGUCGGGAAA
This 200-nucleotide ribosomal RNA is filed under the name uncultured bacterium. RNAcentral's name for it is "partial 16S ribosomal RNA". It matches the Rfam family "Bacterial small subunit ribosomal RNA", at positions 8 to 205 of the family's 1533-position model. The record is from RNAcentral.